AUAUCAAACUCAAUCACUUAUCUUUAUGUAUCUUGAUUUGAAAGUGAUGAUUCAAUUGAUGAUAUAUUAGAAAUUUUUUUCUAAUUAUCAUCCUACUUUGGCCAAAGACUUCCGAAUCAUCAACCUAUGAGAUCAUAUAGGAUGUUCGCUCUCCUUAUUAGGAGUGACUGAUCCCUUAUUGAUCACUCACAAUCUUCAUGCAUACUUCACUAUAUCC
Molecule: long non-coding RNA, 217 nt
Filed under: Elaeis guineensis (African oil palm)
Lineage: Eukaryota; Viridiplantae; Streptophyta; Magnoliopsida; Arecales; Arecaceae
Description: long non-coding RNA (EGUI_LNC046321)
Source: RNAcentral